This is a long non-coding RNA of Pleuronectes platessa (European plaice), 698 nucleotides long. RefSeq lists it as uncharacterized. Lineage: Eukaryota; Metazoa; Chordata; Actinopteri; Pleuronectiformes; Pleuronectidae. The transcript is spliced from 2 exons. The record is from RefSeq and is a predicted model, not a curated record.
GCAGCAGGAUGUCGGGUCCAGCUGGUUCCCAACAAACAACGGGAAGCUCUGAAAAAGGAAAAGUUUCCAUAAUCAUGAACCUCAAGGAUUCUUUAGCAGUUUACUAUCCUCGUGCUGCCUCCUGCUGGAAGACGUCAGGAGUUACAAGACUGAGAGGAAACUACACAUUUAUCCCACUUUCUGUACAUCAGAUGUAUUAAUGUGUGUGUGUGUGUGUGUGUGUGUGUGUGUGUGUGUGUGUGUGUGUGUGUGUGUUUGUUUAUUUGUUAUCUUUUUUUUAUACACAAAAACCACAGAAACCUCCUGAAGAAGAUCGUUGUAUUAAAAUCAGCAGUCACGUCUCUGAAUGUGAAUAAUUUACUAUCAUUGUCUGAAUUUCCCAACAAAGCUUCAAAGCAAUCAAGAAACAUAUUUAUAAACUAUGAAAAUGAUAACUUUCAAUUUGUUCUUAAAUAUAACCACAAUCCUUUUGUCCUUGAUCAUGACAUCACAUCUGUCGUAGUGCUGUCCCCUACUGGAACAGGUUAGUAAUUACAAUGCUCAGAGGAAACUACACAGAUGUUUUAGUGUGUUUUGUUCUGGACUGAACUCACGCAACAUUAAUGAAUUAUAGUUUUAGAAUCUCCCGAUUCUAUCUUUGCAAAGUGUUUCAUAAUUAUAAUAUCCCUGCAACAAUUAGUUCAGAAAGUAAGAGAAGU